GUGACCUGCGGAGGAUCAUUACCGAGUGAGGGCCCUCUGGGUCCAACCUCCCACCCGUGUUUAUUUUACCUUGUUGCUUCGGCGAGCCUGCCUUUUGGCUGCCGGGGGACAUCUGUCCCCGGGUCCGCGCUCGCCGAAGACACCUUAGAACUCUGUCUGAAGAUUGUAGUCUGAGAUUAAAUAUAAAUUAUUUAAAACUUUCAACAACGGAUCUCUUGGUUCCGGCAUCGAUGAAGAACGCAGCGAAAUGCGAUACGUAAUGUGAAUUGCAGAAUUCAGUGAAUCAUCGAGUCUUUGAACGCACAUUGCGCCCUCUGGUAUUCCGGAGGGCAUGCCUGUCCGAGCGUCAUUGCUGCCCUCAAGCACGGCUUGUGUGUUGGGCUCCGUCCUCCUUCCGGGGGACGGGCCCGAAAGGCAGCGGCGGCACCGCGUCCGGUCCUCAAGCGUAUGGGGCUUUGUCACCCGCUUUGUAGGACUGGCCGGCGCCUGCCGAUCAACCAAACUUUUUUCCAGGUUGACCUCGGAUCAGGUAGGGAUACCCGCUGAACUUAAGCAUAUCAAUAAGCGGAGGAAAAGAAACCAACAGGGAUUGCCCCAGUAACGGCGAGUGAAGCGGCAAGAGCUCAAAUKUGAAAGCUGGCUCCUUCGGGGUCCGCAUUGUAAUUUGCAGAGGAUGCUUCGGGAGCGGUCSCCAUCUAAGUGCCCUGGAACGGGACGUCAUAGAGGGUGAGAAUCCSGUAUGGGAKGGGGUGUCSGCGCCCGUGUGAAGCUCCKUCGACGAGUCGAGUUGUUUGGGAAUGCAGCUCUAAAUGGGUGGUAAAUUUCAUCUAAAGCUAAAUAUUGGCCGGAGACCGAUAGCGCACAAGUAGAGUGAUSGAAAGAUGAAAAGCACUUUGAAAAGAGAGUKAAAAAGCACGKGAAAUUGUUGAAAGGGAAGSGSUKGCGACCAGRCUCGCUCGCGGGGKUCAGSCGGCAUUSGUGCCGGUGUACUUCCCCGCGAGCGGGCCAGSGUCGGUUUGGGCGGUCGUCAAAGGCCUSUGGAAGGUAACGCCCCCUCGGGGGCGUCUUAUAGCCAGGGGUGCAAUGCGGCCGGCCCGGACGGGA
This 1104-nucleotide ribosomal RNA is filed under the name Penicillium brevicompactum. RNAcentral describes it as "eukaryotic LSU rRNA". The record is from RNAcentral. Lineage: Eukaryota; Fungi; Ascomycota; Eurotiomycetes; Eurotiales; Aspergillaceae.